UAUUCUGCCCCAUGGGGAAGGAUGAGAAGCUUCGACUAAGGUUCGACUCGAGCGCAGCGAGAGAACGUUGCCACAGGCAACGGCCCGAAGGGCGAGGCGCUUUAGCGCCGAGUAAUCCUUCCCCCACCACCA
This 132-nucleotide small RNA is filed under the name Klebsiella pneumoniae. RNAcentral describes it as "RtT sRNA". It matches the Rfam family "RtT RNA". Rfam says of the family: This family represents a bacterial cis-regulatory element known as RtT RNA. The record is from RNAcentral. Lineage: Bacteria; Pseudomonadati; Pseudomonadota; Gammaproteobacteria; Enterobacterales; Enterobacteriaceae.